Molecule: ribosomal RNA, 863 nt
Filed under: uncultured bacterium
Lineage: Bacteria
Description: bacterial SSU rRNA
Rfam family: Bacterial small subunit ribosomal RNA
Source: RNAcentral
GAACCGAGCGUUAUCCGGAUUUAUUGGGUUUAAAGGGAGCGUAGAUGGAUGUUUAAGUCAGUUGUGAAAGUUUGCGGCUCAACCGUAAAAUUGCAGUUGAUACUGGAUAUCUUGAGUGCAGUUGAGGCAGGCGGAAUUCGUGGUGUAGCGGUGAAAUGCUUAGAUAUCACGAAGAACUCCGAUUGCGAAGGCAGCCUGCUAAGCUGCAACUGACAUUGAGGCUCGAAAGUGUGGGUAUCAAACAGGAUUAGAUACCCUGGUAGUCCACACGGUAAACGAUGAAUACUCGCUGUUUGCGAUAUACAGCAAGCGGCCAAGCGAAAGCGUUAAGUAUUCCACCUGGGGAGUACGCCGGCAACGGUGAAACUCAAAGGAAUUGACGGGGGCCCGCACAAGCGGAGGAACAUGUGGUUUAAUUCGAUGAUACGCGAGGAACCUUACCCGGGCUUAAAUUGCAGUGGAAUGAUGUGGAAACAUGUCAGUGAGCAAUCACCGCUGUGAAGGUGCUGCAUGGUUGUCGUCAGCUCGUGCCGUGAGGUGUCGGCUUAAGUGCCAUAACGAGCGCAACCCUUAUCUUCAGUUACUAACAGGUUAUGCUGAGGACUCUGGAGAGACUGCCGUCGUAAGAUGUGAGGAAGGUGGGGAUGACGUCAAAUCAGCACGGCCCUUACGUCCGGGGCUACACACGUGUUACAAUGGGGGGUACAGAAGGCAGCUAGCGGGUGACCGUAUGCUAAUCCCAAAAGCCUCUCUCAGUUCGGAUCGAAGUCUGCAACCCGACUUCGUGAAGCUGGAUUCGCUAGUAAUCGCGCAUCAGCCACGGCGCGGUGAAUACGUUCCCGGGCCUUGCACACACCGCCCGU